UACAGAGGGUGCGAGCGUUGUCCGGAAUCACUGGGCGUAAAGGGCGCGUAGGCGGCCUGGUAAGUAGAGGGUGAAAUCUCACGGCUCAACCGUGAGGCUGCCUUCUAGACUGCCGGGCUCGAACACAGCAGAGGCUAGUGGAAUUCCCGGUGUAGCGGUGGAAUGCGUAGAGAUCGGGAAGAACAUCGGUGGCGAAGGCGGCUAGCUGGGCUGUUGCUGACGCUGAGGCGCGACAGCGUGGGGAGCAAACAGG
This 253-nucleotide ribosomal RNA is filed under the name uncultured bacterium. Its description in RNAcentral is "partial 16S ribosomal RNA". It matches the Rfam family "Bacterial small subunit ribosomal RNA", at positions 524 to 776 of the family's 1533-position model. The record is from RNAcentral.